CAGCAGCCGCGGGAAAACGUAGGUGGCAAGCGUUGUCCGGAAUUAUUGGGCGUAAAGCGCGCGCAGGCGGAUCAGUUAGUCUGUCUUAAAAGUUCGGGGCUUAACCCCGUGAUGGGAUGGAAACUGCUGAUCUAGAGUAUCGGAGAGGAAAGUGGAAUUCCUAGUGUAGCGGUGAAAUGCGUAGAUAUUAGGAAGAACACCAGUGGCGAAGGCGACUUUCUGGACGAAAACUGACGCUGAGGCGCGAAAGCCAGGGGAGCGAACGGGAUUAGAUACCCGCGUAGUUCCUGUCUCUUAUACA
RNAcentral lists this ribosomal RNA (301 nucleotides) under uncultured bacterium. Its description in RNAcentral is "partial 16S ribosomal RNA". It matches the Rfam family "Bacterial small subunit ribosomal RNA", at positions 509 to 809 of the family's 1533-position model. The record is from RNAcentral.